GUGCUCACUUCAGCAGCACAGAUACUAAAAUUGAAAGGAUACAGAGAAAAUUAGCAUGGUCCCUGCACAGAUGACACACAAAUUUGUGAAGCACUCCAUAUUUUU
RNAcentral lists this small nuclear RNA (105 nucleotides) under Dasypus novemcinctus (nine-banded armadillo). The record is from RNAcentral. Lineage: Eukaryota; Metazoa; Chordata; Mammalia; Cingulata; Dasypodidae.